RNAcentral lists this long non-coding RNA (534 nucleotides) under Brassica napus (rape). RNAcentral's name for it is "long non-coding RNA (BNAP_LNC006176)". The record is from RNAcentral. Lineage: Eukaryota; Viridiplantae; Streptophyta; Magnoliopsida; Brassicales; Brassicaceae.
UUUUUUUUUUUUGUCAUUGAGUAAUUUAAAACGAGUUUUACCCCAUACGAGGUUUGAGACAACAACCAAAAGAAAAACCAUAACAAAUUGGAAACCAGUAGGUCCCAUAGAACACAAACUCAACGUGAGUGAGAAAAGAGAGAUUUAGUAACCUUCUUCCACAAUGAAAAGAAAUCUCCGAGUGCACUAAUGUUGUAAGAGCUUAAGAAGAGGUUGCUUCUUCAUCAAGCAUCAUCGCCAACCACCGAGGCCCACCAGAAGACACAUAAGAAUGGAACCUUUGGCCACUUAUGACACUAUCUGCGAUUGCAGAAGCAGCCUUAUUGCAGGUACCAUGAACCAAAGCUAUAGAGCUUUUAGGAAGAGAGUACACACUACCCAAUGCCUUAUAACACUCAGCAUAAACUAAAGGAAAAUCCAGCGGGUUAUUCAGUGCAUCGGCAGCCUCCGAAGAAGAAAAUUCGAACUGAACAUUCCUCAGUUUGUGUUCCUUCACCGAUGUAGUAGCCCAAGUUAUCGCCAGCAAUCCCGCUU